GAUGAACGCUGGCGGCGUGCCUAAUACAUGCAAGUCGAGCGAACGGACGAGAAGCUUGCUCCUCUGAUGUUAGCGGCUGACGGGUGAGUAACACGUGGAUAACCUACCUAUAAGACUGGGGUCACUUCGGGAAACCGGAGCUAAUACCGGAUCAUAUUUUGAACCGCAUGCUUCAAAAGUGAAAGACGGUCUUGCUGACACUUAUAGAUGGAUCCGCGCUGCAUUAGCUAGUUGGGAAGGUAACGGCUUACCAAGGCAACGAUGCAUAGCCGACCUGAGAGGGUGAUCGGCCACACUGGAACUGAGACACGGUCCAGACUCCUACGGGAGGCAGCAGUAGGGAAUCUUCCGCGAUGGGCGAAAGCCUGAUGGAGCAAAACCGCGUGAGUGAUGAAGGUCUUCGGAUCGUAAAGCUCUGUUAUUAGGGAAGAACAUAUGUGUAAGUAACUGUGCACAUCUUGACGGUACCUAAUCAGAAAGCCACGGCUAACUACGUG
This 497-nucleotide ribosomal RNA is filed under the name uncultured bacterium. RNAcentral's name for it is "partial 16S ribosomal RNA". It matches the Rfam family "Bacterial small subunit ribosomal RNA", at positions 28 to 507 of the family's 1533-position model. The record is from RNAcentral.